Molecule: ribosomal RNA, 405 nt
Filed under: uncultured bacterium
Lineage: Bacteria
Description: bacterial SSU rRNA
Rfam family: Bacterial small subunit ribosomal RNA
Source: RNAcentral
UGGGGAAUAUUGGACAAUGGGCGCAAGCCUGAUCCAGCAAUCCUGCGUGAAGGAUGAAGCUUUUAGGAGUGUAAACUUCUUUUUUGGUGGAAGACGAAUGACGGUACACCAAGAAUAAGAGACGGCUAACUACGUGCCAGCAGCCGCGGUAAUACGUAGGUCUCAAGCGUUAUCCGGAUUUACUGGGUGUAAAGCGUCUGUAGCCUGAUAUAUAAGUCUGUUUUCAAAAACCCUGACUCAAUCAGGGGAAGGGAAUAGAUACUGUAUAACUAGAAGUCAUUAGAGGUUAGUAGAAUUUCCGGUGAAGCGGUGAAAUGUGUUGAUAUCGGAAGGAAUGCCGAAAGCGAAAGCAGCUAACUAUAGUGAACUUGACGGUGAGAGACGAAAGUUUGGGGAGCAAACGGG